Long non-coding RNA from Salmo salar (Atlantic salmon), 527 nucleotides. RefSeq lists it as uncharacterized. The record is from RefSeq and is a predicted model, not a curated record. Lineage: Eukaryota; Metazoa; Chordata; Actinopteri; Salmoniformes; Salmonidae.
UUUCUUUCUUACACACGUCUUUCUUUCUUACGCACGUCUUUCUUUCUUACACACGUCUCAGUAGUUGUUAUUCAGACUUACCUUAUGAAGGUGCAUAUAACGGUGCUUCCAUUGCGCGCUUGAAUACAUGGAAUUCAGCGCGUCUGUCGUUGUGAUUCUGGAUGGCCAGAUUGCUGGCAAGAAUGACAAGAAACUGCCAUGUGGAGAAUCAUGCGCUCAUAAUUUCUCUGCUCAUGGCAGCCGUUUCAACAGAGGGAGGAGCUGAGGGAGAUGGGCGUGGCUUCGCGAAGAAAACAUAAAUACCUCCUAUGCGCUUGCAUGACGAAGGAGCCCUACGUCACUGAUGCUGCUGGUUCAGCCUACUUCAGUCGAGGAAAAGGAAAAAAGAACAGCGGCGAAUAGAAAAGGAACAGUUCGGGUGCCGUCAAAUAAUUAUUUAUGUAUUUAAACUGCAAUUGUUCGGAUGCAAAAGAAAGAAUAACCCCCAAGCAUUGGUAAUAAAUAAAGGAAUGAUUCAACAUCCUUAA